Molecule: unclassified non-coding RNA, 349 nt
Filed under: air metagenome
Description: partial contains small subunit ribosomal RNA, internal transcribed spacer 1, and 5.8S ribosomal RNA
Rfam family: Eukaryotic small subunit ribosomal RNA (bases 1-46)
Source: RNAcentral
AAGUCGUAACAAGGUUUCCGUAGGUGAACCUGCGGAAGGAUCAUUAUCGAGUCCAAUCCAGCUUAUUUCUGGCUGUGCAUUCACUUGCACGCCGGGGUCAGUUGGCUCUUGAACUUCACACACCUGUGCACCUUCUUGUGCCUUCUCCGUCGUCGUGCAUUCGUGUGCGGCUCCACUGCUUGCAGUGGGAUUCGGGCGUUGCGGUAAAUUCACGUUUACAGCUCGCCUCGGGGAGGGGGUCACUUGUUUUUUUACACCUUUUUCGUAUGUCCUAGAAUGUCUCGGACUGCCCUGUGAUGGGGUGGUCUUUAAUCAAAUACAACUUUCAGCAACGGAUCUCUUGGCUCUC